This 275-nucleotide ribosomal RNA is filed under the name uncultured prokaryote. RNAcentral's name for it is "partial 16S ribosomal RNA". It matches the Rfam family "Bacterial small subunit ribosomal RNA", at positions 524 to 797 of the family's 1533-position model. The record is from RNAcentral.
UACGGAGGAUCCGAGCGUUAUCCGGAUUUAUUGGGUUUAAAGGGUGCGCAGGCGGGAGAUUAAGUCGGCGGUGAAAUUUUGCAGCUCAACUGUAAAAGUGCCUUCGAAACUGGUUUCCUUGAGUGUGGAUGAAGUAGGCGGAAUUUGUGGUGUAGCGGUGAAAUGCAUAGAUAUCACGAGGAACUCCGAUUGCGCAGGCAGCUUACUAAACCAUAACUGACGCUCAGGCACGAAGGCGUGGGGAUCAAACAGGAUUAGAUACCCCCGUACGUCCU